RNAcentral lists this small RNA (160 nucleotides) under Arabidopsis thaliana (thale cress). RNAcentral's name for it is "ATSL212660". Lineage: Eukaryota; Viridiplantae; Streptophyta; Magnoliopsida; Brassicales; Brassicaceae. The record is from RNAcentral.
AAUAUAUAAAAUAAAAUAAUAUGUAAAAUUAAAUAAGAAAUAUAUCAUUAACCUAUAAAUUAGAAGUUGAAGAGCUUACAUUAAUUAUUUUAAUAGACACAUGGCAAAUGCUAAGUGAUGAUGUGUCAAUCAUACGGAAAGAGUUAGCCAUGAUUAAUAA